Long non-coding RNA from Pygocentrus nattereri (red-bellied piranha), 1241 nucleotides. RefSeq lists it as uncharacterized. The record is from RefSeq and is a predicted model, not a curated record. Lineage: Eukaryota; Metazoa; Chordata; Actinopteri; Characiformes; Serrasalmidae. The transcript is spliced from 7 exons.
GAGUCCCAGUGGUUGGCGUUUUGCCAGUAUUUUUCAGUUUUUGCGUUGUUGUCAGUCUGUUUGUAUAGUUUGUUUGAGUGUGCGUGUGAGGUGUGGUGGGGGGUGUGUGGGCGUCUGUUACCGGCGUUUUGUUGGGAGCAUGGCGUCCCUGAACUCUCUCGCCGGCAUGGUGUGAGUGUGGAUGAGUGCUGUUUGGCGGCAGGCGGUGCCGUCGGGUAUAAUAAUGUGGUCUCUGCUUCGCGCAUGUACAGUGCGGUGGUGAUGUUCCUGUCCUCGCUGGACAAAGCCAAUCAGCUGGUGCAGAGUGGACUUGUUAUUAAUGAUCAGUUCGUCCCGUCCUGCCCCUCAGUACUCCCGCCAAAAAGGUCAUUCUGUCCAAUGUCCCCCCGUUCAUCUCGGACGAGCUGAUCGCUCAGGAGCUGUUCCGGUUUGGGAAACUUGUCUCCCCCAUUAAGAACAUCUCCUCCGAGUCUGCCCUGAAAAGCUCAACGACAACGAUGGUGAUGCCGGGAACGUGGCGCGGCCGGGGCCUGCCGCAGCUGAUCCCGUAGUGGCUGCCCCCCCUGCGGCUGCUGUUGCGGAGGAGCCAGCUGUGAACCACCCUGGUGGCAAGAGCAGGAUCAGGGGUCUCCUGACCCAGGGGAGCAAGAUAACCAGACGGACCACCUAACGCUAUAUCAUCUACUGCAGUGGUCAGUGUACAGACCAGUCCAACCACUUCAACCACACAUUCAUCUCAAAAGCCUGAAGACGGACCACCUAACGCUAUAGCAUCUACUGCAGUGGUCAGUGUACAGACCAGUCCAACCACUUCAACCUCAAGUUCAUCUCAAAAGCCUGAAGAGGGUCCAACUAAAACUAUAACAUCAACUGCUGUUGACAUCCAAACCAUUUCAAGCACUUCAACUGCGAAUUUCUCUAAAACACCUGACGAUUAUUCCACUUCUUUCAUCACAAUUCCUGUUGUUCUUCUCCUGCUGGUACUAGGAGGAGUCAUCUACUGGAGAUACAGAGGACAGAGACGAGGACAGACGGAGAGCCGAGAGCAAAGAAGGAUGAAGAGAAAACAGAAAACACAGGAUGAAGUGACGUACUCUACUAUCGUCCACAGUAACACAACUAGAACAACCACAGUCACCCUCAUUGGAGAAAAGACAGAAUACGCCACCAUCAGAGUAAACUAGUAACACCACUCACACACCAGUAUUGUGUUUUUAAUGCUUUUUUUAUUUUCUUUUUUU